GGGCCCGCACAAGCGGUGGAGCAUGUGGUUUAAUUCGAUGAUACGCGAGGAACCUUACCAGGGCUUAAAUGCAGAACGACAGAGGUGGAAACACCUCCUUCUUCGGACGGUCUGCAAGGUGCUGCAUGGUUGUCGUCAGCUCGUGCUGUGAAGUGUCGGGUUAAGUCCCAUAACGAGCGCAACCCCUAUUUCUAGUUGCCAGCGGUUCGGCCGGGGAACUCUAGAGAAACUGCCAGCGUAAGCUGUGAGGAAGGUGGGGAUGACGUCAAAAUCAUCACGGCCCUUACGUCCUGGGGCUACACACGUGCUACAAUGGUAGGGACAGAGAGUUGCCAACCCCGCAGGGU
This 347-nucleotide ribosomal RNA is filed under the name uncultured bacterium. RNAcentral describes it as "bacterial SSU rRNA". It matches the Rfam family "Bacterial small subunit ribosomal RNA", at positions 917 to 1264 of the family's 1533-position model. The record is from RNAcentral.